RNAcentral lists this ribosomal RNA (185 nucleotides) under uncultured bacterium. RNAcentral's name for it is "partial 16S ribosomal RNA". It matches the Rfam family "Bacterial small subunit ribosomal RNA", at positions 1317 to 1500 of the family's 1533-position model. The record is from RNAcentral.
UGUAUGAAGUUGGAAUCGCUAGUAAUCNCGGAUCAGCAUGCCGCGGUGAAUACGUUCCCGGGCCCUUGUACACACCGCCCGUCACACCAUGAGAGUCGGGAACACCCGAAGUCCGUAGCCUAACCGCAAGGAGGGCGCGGCCGAAGGUGGGUUCGAUAAUUGGGGUGAAGUCGUAACAAGGUAUC